This is a small nuclear RNA of Papaver somniferum (opium poppy), 195 nucleotides long. RefSeq annotates it as U2 spliceosomal RNA. The record is from RefSeq and is a predicted model, not a curated record. The transcript has a single exon. Lineage: Eukaryota; Viridiplantae; Streptophyta; Magnoliopsida; Ranunculales; Papaveraceae.
ACACCUUUCUCGGCAUUUUAGCUAAUAUCAAGUGAAGUAUCUGUUCUUAUCAGUUUAAUAUCUGGUAUGUGAGUCAUCGGCUCACACGAUAUUAAAUUUAUUUUUUUCAUGGGGGAGUUCCCGGUACAUCAGCUUGCUGCUGGGUUCUGGGUUCUCCCUUGCGUUGCACUACGCCAAUGGCCUGGCGCACUCCCA